UACAGGGGGUGCAAACGUUGCUCGGAAUCAUUGGGCGUAAAGCGCACGUAGGCGGUCUGUUAUGUCGAAUGUGAAAGCCCCCGGCUUAACUGGGGAGGGUCAUUCGAUACUGCUCGGCUCGAAGACAGGAGAGGGAAGCGGAAUUCCCGGUGUAGUGGUGAAAUGCGUAGAUAUCGGGAGGAACACCAGUGGCGAAGGCGGCUUUCUGGCCUGUUCUUGACGCUGAGGCGCGAAAGCUAGGGGAGCAAACGGG
Molecule: ribosomal RNA, 253 nt
Filed under: uncultured bacterium
Lineage: Bacteria
Description: partial 16S ribosomal RNA
Rfam family: Bacterial small subunit ribosomal RNA
Source: RNAcentral